Molecule: non-coding RNA, 22 nt
Filed under: Rattus norvegicus (Norway rat)
Lineage: Eukaryota; Metazoa; Chordata; Mammalia; Rodentia; Muridae
Source: RNAcentral
UACCUUCCCUGAUACAGUGAAU